RNAcentral lists this ribosomal RNA (406 nucleotides) under uncultured bacterium. Its description in RNAcentral is "bacterial SSU rRNA". It matches the Rfam family "Bacterial small subunit ribosomal RNA", at positions 32 to 421 of the family's 1533-position model. The record is from RNAcentral.
AAUCAACGCUGGCGGCGUGCCUCAGACAUGCAAGUCGAACGAGAACCUCCCUUCGGGGAGGGGACAGUGGCGCACGGGUGAGUAACACGUGGGUAAUUUACCUUUGGGUGGGGAACAACAGCCGGAAACGGCUGCUAAUACCGCAUAAUGCAGCGGCUCGACAUCGAGACAGUUGUUAAAGCGGGGGAUCGCAAGACCUCGCGCCUGAAGAGAAGCCUGCGGCGGAUUAGCAGUUGGUAGGGUAAUGGCCUACCAAGGCGACGAUCUGUAACCGGCCUGAGAGGGCGGUCGGUCACACUGACACUGACAUACGGGUCAGACUCCUACGGGAGGCAGCAGUCGGGAAUUUUGGGCAAUGGGCGAAAGCCUGACCCAGCAACGCCGCGUGAAGGAUGAAGCUUUUCGG